AUCGGUCCGGUCCGGCUGGCGGUGCCGGGGGGGCCCGGCCGGCAUCCUUCGUGCGGCCGAAGCUCGGGGAGAGUCCGGACGCGCCGCCUUCCUCCCCGCGUCCCUCUCCCGGUGUAGUCGGGGGACGGUGCAGCCAGGCCCGGUGGGGCCGCCGAGGCCCAGCCCGGCCCACUCCCGCCGUGUCCCUCGUCCCGGGCCUGUCCCGGCCGCUGCCCUGCUGGGGGCUUGUUUCCCACAGCCCCGCGGGUCCCCGUAGCCCGGCUCCCUGCCUGGUCCCGGGCUUUCUGCCGGGUCGGGCCCUGGGCACCUCCACAAAUCGCUGGGAAUGGCUCUUGUCGCUGCUGCUCAAGGCCGCUGCAGCACCCUGCGCCUCCCGGCUCUGUGUUCUGCUGGCUCCAUCGGGCUCGGCUCCGGAGCAAGAGAACCUCAUCGCCUGCUAACACAGCCAGACACGUGAGCAGGUGCCGCCGGGAGCGUGGAGAGCCCAGGGCAGCCUGGAGGAUGAGAUCACACACAGGACAGCGUGUGGGACACAGGAGCCAGGAGUUAACAGGUACUAACACUAGAUAAUCAAAUCCGUAUGUUAUACAUGUACAGCAACUAACUGCUUUACAAAAAAAGCAAAAUAAUACAAUAUAUUGUCACAUGUAUUUACAGUGUAGUAAAUAUACUUUUCUGUCAAAUUUUACACAAAACCUAUUUACAGGUGAAUAUACUGCAUAAAAAAAAAAGGUGGGACCAACACUCUGAGUGACUGUCUGUGGUUUGUUGCAUAACAAUAGGACGUGCUUUGUGAGUUCGGAAAAAAUUAACCUUAGACUGAAACAGAAAAAGCCCUAAAUCCUAAACCCGGGUCAGAGCCAGCCCCGGCACACGCUGGGGGCUCAGCCCAUGAGACUCAGGGAAACGUUCCCUGUCCUGGGAAACCGCAUGCACGGUAAAGCAGAAACAUCGGCAUCAUUACAGGUAGGUUAUGCACUAUUCAAAUACUACUGAGUUAUCUUUAAGUCAGGGAAAAUACAAACACAAACAGAAUGUUCAUUGUCUUUACAGUACUGAGCUGUGGUCAGUGCGGGGCAGGGAACGGGCUCUGAGCCGGGGGUCACACACGCUCCCCGGAGGGCGUUACAUGGUCCACGUGUUCCAAUCGGCUUCUCUGAAUUUUAAGUUUUCAUGUCAGAGCUCAGGGACUCUGAGGCUGCAGUUCCAGCCCUGCAGCAGCAGAGCCUGCAGCAGCAGAGCCUGCAGCAGCAGAGCCUGCAGCAGCAGAGCCUGCAGCAGCAGAGCCUGCAGCAGCAGAGCCUGCAGCAGCAGCCACUGCCGGUGGCCCGGGGGCUGCCUGGAGCGCAGGGGCACUGGGGACCCUGGGACGGGGCUCACACCCACACGGUCACCAGCAACAACCUGCUGGGCACCAGAACAGAGCAGCAGGUGGAGGAAGGGUGGAGCAGAGCUCCCAGGGAUGGAAUGGGAUGGAGAGUGCUCAAACAGAGAAAGAACAAAGGCAGGAGGAUGUGAGAAAGAAAAAGAGGCAAAUCCCAGCAGUGGCUGCUGGAGGGAGCGGGAGAGUGAUACAGUGACAGUAAGGCACUCAACAACUAAUUACUGAUGGGACUUUAAUCGUUACACAAAGGCCAUGGUUCCCUGGGAGCCAAGCACAAGCUUCCCAAGCACCAGUACCAGGAGACAACGUUCCUGUCUAUCGCAGCACACACGAUCCCAAAUGAAACCUUGGCCAUCAGCAGUCCUUACAGCCCAGUUCACCCGUACCUGACACAGGUGUCUGCCACCUCUGCUCUGCCAAGUCCAGGCCCUCUCACUGAACCUCUCAUACAGGGAAAACUCCAACUGGCUCCCUCCUUCCAGGAAAGAGGAAAGGCAGUUUUGUUCACUGGCUUCAUGAAGAGACCAGU
Molecule: long non-coding RNA, 1913 nt
Organism: Prinia subflava (tawny-flanked prinia)
Lineage: Eukaryota; Metazoa; Chordata; Aves; Passeriformes; Cisticolidae
Exons: 2
Source: RefSeq, a predicted model, not a curated record